UGCUUUCGUGUGUUUUUCAUUUAACUCAUGGACAAACUUAUAAACAGGUGCAAAUAUUAAACCUCUUUUUUUGCAAUCUAAAACUCAUUGUUCAGUAUGAGUCUUGAUACAUAUAAGAAAGAAUAUU
RNAcentral lists this small nucleolar RNA (127 nucleotides) under Spermophilus dauricus (Daurian ground squirrel). Its description in RNAcentral is "Small nucleolar RNA SNORA40 (ENSSDAG00000011816.1)". It matches the Rfam family "Small nucleolar RNA SNORA40". Rfam says of the family: The snoRNA ACA 40 belongs to the H/ACA family of snoRNAs and guides the pseudouridylation of 28S rRNA subunit at position U4565. NB This family has a high threshold value to exclude a large number of closely related sequences that do not appear to have conserved H and ACA boxes, and may be pseudogenes. Lineage: Eukaryota; Metazoa; Chordata; Mammalia; Rodentia; Sciuridae. The record is from Rfam by way of RNAcentral.